GGAAGACAAAUUAUCAAGAAAUUAAGGCUUCUAUAUAUAUAUAUGUGUAUACAUGCUUCGAAGCUGAUGAACAUACUAUUUUCAAGAACUUGGAUUUUGCCAAUAGUCAUUAAGUCAUGGCAGAAGCCAAAGAAAUGUGGAAUGCUGCUCCAUUUAAAUUCACAUGGAGAAUUAACGAGUUUUCCAAAUGGACAGAAAAAUUGUAUUCAGAACAUUUCUCUGCUGGUGGUUGUAAAUGGCGUUUGGCUAUUUACCCCAAAGGAAACCAUGUGAAUUAUUUGUCAAUAUACCUGGAAGUUGCUUAUCCAAAAAAUUUGCCGGAAGGAUGGAGUACGGAAGUAAAAUUUAGCUUGGCAGUUGUUAAUCAAAUCAAUAGCAGGUCCACAGUCAGAAAAGAUACACAAAAACAAAUUGUAUUCAACGCAUCGGGAAAGAAUUGGAGUUGGGGUUUCGCAUCUUUCAUUCCUCUUAGCAAAUUAAAAAAUCCUUCAGAAGGGUAUCUUGUGGGAGAUAGCCUUAUGGUUGAAGCUGAGGUGCUUGUUUAUAAUGUCCAACAAUACAGCUCAAGGGUUUACACUGAGGAGGAAGUUCCUAGAAAUGAAUCUGAGCCAGCGGCUGCAACUGCAUCACCUUUAUCACAAAAGGAUACUGAAGCAAAGACUGAAGAGGCCACUCAAGCUACUGUUCCCACCAGUGAUCAAAACCUUCUCAAGUUACCAACACCGCCUCCUCCAAUUACGGCAAAGAAAAAUAUUAUUU
This 759-nucleotide unclassified non-coding RNA is filed under the name Hevea brasiliensis (rubber tree). Lineage: Eukaryota; Viridiplantae; Streptophyta; Magnoliopsida; Malpighiales; Euphorbiaceae. The record is from RNAcentral.